This 253-nucleotide ribosomal RNA is filed under the name uncultured bacterium. RNAcentral describes it as "partial 16S ribosomal RNA". It matches the Rfam family "Bacterial small subunit ribosomal RNA", at positions 524 to 776 of the family's 1533-position model. The record is from RNAcentral.
UACGUAGGGUGCGAGCGUUGUCCGGAAUUAUUGGGCGUAAAGGGCUCGUAGGCGGUCUGUUGCGUCGGUAGUGAAAACUCAGGGCUUAACCCUGAGCCUGCUUCCGAUACGGGCAGACUAGAGGUAUGCAGGGGAGAACGGAAUUCCUGGUGUAGCGGUGAAAUGCGCAGAUAUCAGGGGGAACACCGGUGGCGAAGGCGGUUCUCUGGGCAUUACCUGACGCUGAGGAGCGAAAGUGUGGGGAGCGAACAGG